RNA transcript from Gossypium raimondii (Peruvian cotton), 2098 nucleotides. It is a transcript of the gene named integrin-linked protein kinase 1, with no coding region annotated. Lineage: Eukaryota; Viridiplantae; Streptophyta; Magnoliopsida; Malvales; Malvaceae. The transcript has 7 exons. The record is from RefSeq and is a predicted model, not a curated record.
GGUUGUGUUUCCAUUACGUCCCAAAUCUGUUCCUUCCCUAAUACACCUGGUCCCGUAAUAGGUAUUCCCCCCAUCCAGCGCUGAUUAGAGAAUUCUUACCCAUUUCUUGUUUCCGUUUCCUUUUUCUGCCCUCAUAGAUUUCUGCUUCUUCUUCUAUCGGCAUUACAGAUCUGUCCUCAUUUCUUCUGCUUUCAUAACAAAUCCUCAACAUUGUCUUCAUCGGAGGCCGAUGAUGAAAAAAUUGGAAGCUGGUGGGACAGAAAGUUGAUUCAGGGGGUCUUUAUAGACUGCUUCAAUGUGCAAGUAAAGGGGAUAAAGCUGGCGUAAUACAAGAACUAGAUAAAGGUGUGGAGCCUAAUGGAGCUGAUUAUGAUAGGAGAACUGCCUUUCAUUUAGCUGCUUGUGAAUGUUGGAUUGAAGUUAUUGAUUUGCUUCUUGAGAAAGGUGCUGAUGUGAAUUCUUUAGAUCAUUGGGGCCGAACUGUUGGGGUUAAAGGCGAUUUACGACGGUUCGACCGAUGGGUAGAGAAUUGUAAUGGUUAUGGGUGAUUGGAAUUUGAGUUUUUUGAGGGUCGGAGUUGGAGAGGAAAAAGAAAAAUAGUUGGAGUUCGAAUAGAAUUUGGUCCUUGUAGGUCUUAAAAGGGUGUCUUUGUUCAUUCACCCCCGAAUAAGGUUUGCAAGAUACUUGAAGCUCGAGGGGGAAAUGAAUCUGAUGUGAGUAAUUAUUUUUGUAGCCAUUGUCUGACGCACAUAGCUUUGACACAAUGAGGUUUGCAAGAUACUUAAAGCUCGAGGGGGAAUCGAUCCGGUAGGAAUGGACUCUCAAGCUCCGUGCUUUGAAAUCGAUCAUAGUGAGGUUGACAUGGAGGAAGCAACCCGUAUCGGAGAGAUCUUGGCUCAUCAUUUUGGGGGAUGGCUUUGAUUCUUGCAUCCACAAAUCUCCUCACUGCAAGAAUAGCUGCUGGUUGUUUUCUUCUUGCCCUCGUUGUCGUGCUCUUUUAUGCUAAAAAUGUAAGAUAUCAAGGAUGAUGGUAUUUCCUGAUAAAAUUUUGCAUUAAUAUUUAGAUACUUUCUUUCUUUCCUUUUUUAUUUUGUAUUCUUCAAAGAGUACUUUCAAAUUUUUAACUUGUAAUGUGUAUGAUUAUUCAAACAGUGGACACUUCGAGGACUGUCCAUCGGUGAGUACCCUUAUAACCUUGUGGUGACUUGUGUUUUUAUAACUAGGAGUUGAACUUGAAGUGCUAACAAUUUUGUUAUCUAUAAACUAGAUUCCUCAGGUUUUAUUAUUUUCCUUGCUCUAAUUUGGUUUUUGCAAGAAAGGACAACAGUUCAUAUUCUCCGUUACGCCAUUCUAUUUAUCGAUAUAGGCUCUCUUGUCGUAUUUUCUUUAUCGUUCCCAAAGAACAAUUUCAUCCUACCAUCUCUUCCGUGAAAAGAAAUGUUGCUUAUUUCUUAUUUUGGAAAUUGCAAGUGUCAUGAACAGUCUAUUUUCAGUCUAUGGUAUGUCUCGGUGAUGGUGUUUCCUCUGACAUUUUUUUUUCUUUCAAUUAAGCAUUAAAUUUGAGGUGAUUUGAAUAUUGUUUGCAUAGAUAUCUAUGAUGAUCUAAUAUGUCGAGGAGUCAACUCCAGUGAUGCCGAGAAGUUUGCAGAAAUUUGUCCUUGCCCCUGCAAUGGAGUUGGAUGGGGGUUUAUAUGGGGAAUGAUAUCAUUCAUAUUUCUUGGUGCAUCAGUGUAUCUAGGACUUCUCAUCUUAGCUUGACCUGAGUUUCAAUUUCAGGUUCUGGGAUUGGUUGAAAGUCAUCUUGGUACUGGCAAGUUAUUAUUGUACAUCAUUCAGCACUGUGUUAAAAUGGAGGAUGCCAUUUUUCCUUAUUCAGAACAUAGUUUAUUUGUUUGUAAUUUGAUUCAUCAUUCAUCCAGCAAUGUAUUGUAGUGCAAUUUUGUUUUUGGUAUUAGAUAGUAACAGCUUGGCUUCAUUCUUUGUAACCCUUUCUCAUUUGGGCUCAGAUUCCUUUUUUUUUCAGACUGCACUAGACUAAACCAGAUUGUAAAGUAAUAUUAUUUCCAGUUUUAAUUCAUUUUCAGCCCAUCAUUCUGAA